This 300-nucleotide ribosomal RNA is filed under the name Triticum aestivum (bread wheat). RNAcentral describes it as "partial small subunit ribosomal RNA". Lineage: Eukaryota; Viridiplantae; Streptophyta; Magnoliopsida; Poales; Poaceae. The record is from RNAcentral.
AUGCUUCAAGAUGUCAAUAGCCAGCUGAACAAUGUGACACAAUAUGUGGGUACAAUGGCAGCAUCAUUGUCAGCAUCAAUGGCACAAGAAGCAUCGCAAGAGGAUCCUCAACAGAAAUCAAAAGAGAAGGCUAUUAGUGAAUUGGCUAGGCUUAGCUUUACCGGGAGUGAGAUCGUUGAGGCUGCAACCGUAUUUGCUAAAGCUCCAAAUCAGAUGAACAUGAUGCUUGCGCUUCCAGAAAAUCUGAGGAGGGAGUAUGUCCUAAAAAUGCUCUCCGAUGAGAAAAAGAAGCACGGUUGA